UGUGAUGGGGAGCGAAAUUUAGUAGCGAAGUAGCUGAUUUCACACUGUCAAGAAAAGUCUCUAUCGAGGUUAAAGGUACACGUACCGCAAACCGACACAGGUGGGUGAGGAGAGUAUCCUAAGGCCAGCGAGAGAACUGUUGGUAAGGAACUCGGCAAAAUGACCCCGUAACUGAGGGAUAAGGGGUGCCACCAUCAGGUGGCCGCAGAGAAUAGGCCCAAGCGACUGUUUACCAAAAACAUAGGUUUCUGCUAAGUCGCAAGACGAUGUAUAGGAGCUGACGCCUGCCCGGUGCUGGAAGGUUAAGGGGAUCUGUUAGAG
RNAcentral lists this ribosomal RNA (321 nucleotides) under Clostridioides difficile. RNAcentral describes it as "partial 23S ribosomal RNA". It matches the Rfam family "Bacterial large subunit ribosomal RNA", at positions 1562 to 1895 of the family's 2925-position model. Lineage: Bacteria; Bacillati; Bacillota; Clostridia; Peptostreptococcales; Peptostreptococcaceae. The record is from RNAcentral.